RNAcentral lists this ribosomal RNA (433 nucleotides) under uncultured bacterium. Its description in RNAcentral is "partial 16S ribosomal RNA". It matches the Rfam family "Bacterial small subunit ribosomal RNA", at positions 30 to 507 of the family's 1533-position model. The record is from RNAcentral.
AACGAACGCUGGCGGCAUGCCUAACACAUGCAAGUCGAACGAGACCUUCGGGUCUAGUGGCGCACGGGUGCGUAACGCGUGGGAACCUGCCCUUAGGUUCGGAAUAACUCCCCGAAAGGGGUGCUAAUACCGGAUAAUGUCUUCGGACCAAAGAUUUAUCGCCUUUGGAUGGGCCCGCGUUGGAUUAGCUAGUUGGUAGGGUAAAAGCCUACCAAGGCGACGAUCCAUAGCUGGUCUGAGAGGAUGAUCAGCCACACUGGGACUGAGACACGGCCCAGACAAGGACGGGAGGAAGAAGGGGGGAAUAUUGAAGAAGGGGGGAGAGUCGGAACCAGCAAUGACGCGUGAGGGAAGAAGGACUAAGGGUUGAAAAGCCCCUUGACACGGGAGGAAAAUGACAGGAGAGAGAAAAUAAGAACAGGAUACCUCCGUG